RNAcentral lists this long non-coding RNA (372 nucleotides) under Mytilus galloprovincialis (Mediterranean mussel). The record is from RNAcentral. Lineage: Eukaryota; Metazoa; Mollusca; Bivalvia; Mytilida; Mytilidae.
AUUUUCUCAGAUUUCGUUAUAUGAUCAAUUUGAUUUUUAAGCUAAAUGAUAAGUAUCAAUUAACACAGAAAGCAAUAAUUUUAUUUUUCGUGGAAGAUUGCCUGUACGAUGAGGUCUCUUUGGGAACCCUAGGAAACCACAAAAUUUAAAAAAAAACAUGACCACGGGAGCUUACGACGACAUUCAUGAUUGGAAAAUAUAAUGAUAUUCCAAUAGUUUGCAUAUAAAUGUAGCCGUGUGUUAUCCGUUAACUUAAACUCGUUAACUAGACAUCUUUUUCGAUACUGGGCACCCUACUACAAGCCUGGCCAGGUAAACAAUACGUUUGUUUAAAGUAAGACAUUACAUUUUGUUGACAUUUAUCGUAAAACA